GACGAACGCUGGCGGCGUGCUUAACACAUGCAAGUCGAACGGAGAGGCCCUGCUUUUGUGGGGUGCUCGAGUGGCGAACGGGUGAGUAACACGUGAGUAACCUGCCCUUGACUUUGGGAUAACUUCAGGAAACUGGGGCUAAUACCGGAUAGGAGCUCCUGCUGCAUGGUGGGGGUUGGAAAGUUUCGGCGGUUGGGGAUGGAAUCGCUGCUUAUCAGCUUGUUGGUGGGGUAGUGGCUUUCAAAGGCUUUGACGGGUAGCCGGCCUGAGAGGGUGACCGGCCACAUUGGGACUGAGGUACGGCCCAGACUCCUACGGGAGGCAGCAGUCGGGAAUAUUGCACAAUGGGCGGACGCCUGAUGCAGCAACGCCGCGUGCGGGAUGACGGCCUUCGGGUUGUAAACCGCUUUCGCCUGUGACGAAGCGUGAGUGACGGUAAUGGGUAAAGAAGCACCGGCUAACUACGUG
RNAcentral lists this ribosomal RNA (468 nucleotides) under uncultured bacterium. RNAcentral's name for it is "partial 16S ribosomal RNA". It matches the Rfam family "Bacterial small subunit ribosomal RNA", at positions 28 to 507 of the family's 1533-position model. The record is from RNAcentral.